AUCCGCUAAGGAGUGUGUA
Molecule: non-coding RNA, 19 nt
Filed under: Arabidopsis thaliana (thale cress)
Lineage: Eukaryota; Viridiplantae; Streptophyta; Magnoliopsida; Brassicales; Brassicaceae
Also listed under: 1 other name
Source: RNAcentral